GCCAGCAGCCAUAUCACCCUGAAAGUCCCAACUGGCAACCCACUGAAACUAAGCAGGUGUGAGCCUAGUCAGUACCUGGUUGGGAGACCUCCUGGGAAAACUAAGGUUGCUGCUGGUA
Molecule: ribosomal RNA, 118 nt
Filed under: Lepisosteus oculatus (spotted gar)
Lineage: Eukaryota; Metazoa; Chordata; Actinopteri; Semionotiformes; Lepisosteidae
Source: RNAcentral